AGAAUCAACGCUGGCGGCGUGCCUAACACAUGCAAGUCGAACGCGGUUACGUUUGUUUCGCAAGAAACAGGCGUAACUGAGUGGCGAACGGGUGAGUAACACGUGGGUGAUCUACCUUCAAGUGGGGGAUAACGUUCCGAAAGGAACGCUAAUACCGCAUGACGUUCUGGGUUUGAAGACCUGGAAACCAAAGCCGGGGACCGCAAGGCCUGGCGCUUGGGAGAGGAGCCCGCGUCCGAUUAGCUAGUUGGCGGGUAACGCCCACCAAGGCGACGAUC
Molecule: ribosomal RNA, 278 nt
Filed under: uncultured soil bacterium
Lineage: Bacteria
Description: partial 16S ribosomal RNA
Rfam family: Bacterial small subunit ribosomal RNA
Source: RNAcentral